GGGGGUGACUGGAUUCGACAAGGUGAGUUUGCGGUGGGCAGCAAGCCGUGGUCUCCUCGCCACGUAAAACAGGGGUAACGUCAAAUUGAAUUGACAACACUCUUACUUUUGAGCCUCGCAUGGCUCUCGCUGCUUAAUUUAGUUCAGCGCGUCUAACUGGGAUUUUCUCCUGUUCUCAGGGUGACGUCAUUUAGGGAGAUGCUUGUAAGGACGUAGUUGGUAUGCCUUACAAAAAGAUUGAACCAACUGGAGCACCAAACGCCCGUUACUAAGUGUGCGGUACUUGAGAUGUAAUUAGUAACUGAGCUUGGAGACACCUGCCUAGGAUUUGCUUUGGACCGGAGUUCGAUUCUCCGCACCUCCACCA
This 367-nucleotide transfer-messenger RNA is filed under the name Atopobiaceae. RNAcentral's name for it is "Lancefieldella sp916438885 Standard tmRNA". It matches the Rfam family "transfer-messenger RNA". Rfam says of the family: Bacterial tmRNA, also known as 10Sa RNA or SsrA, is named for its dual tRNA and mRNA-like properties. RNAcentral also lists the same sequence under 1 other name. Lineage: Bacteria; Bacillati; Actinomycetota; Coriobacteriia; Coriobacteriales. The record is from RNAcentral.